RNAcentral lists this ribosomal RNA (393 nucleotides) under uncultured bacterium. RNAcentral's name for it is "partial 16S ribosomal RNA". It matches the Rfam family "Bacterial small subunit ribosomal RNA", at positions 523 to 918 of the family's 1533-position model. The record is from RNAcentral.
AUACGGAGGAUGCGAGCGUUAUCCGGAUUUAUUGGGUUUAAAGGGAGCGUAGGUGGGAUAUUAAGUCAGCUGUGAAAGUUUGGGGCUCAACCUUAAAAUUGCAGUUGAUACUGGUUUCCUUGAGUACGGUACAGGUGGGCGGAAUUCGUGGUGUAGCGGUGAAAUGCUUAGAUAUCACGAAGAACUCCGAUCGCGAAGGCAGCUCACCGGGCCGGAACUGACACUGAUGCUCGAAAGUGCGGGUAUCAAACAGGAUUAGAUACCCUGGUAGUCCGCACAGUAAACGAUGAAUACUCGCUGUUUGCGAUACACAGUAAGCGGCCAAGCGAAAGCGUUAAGUAUUCCACCUGGGGAGUACGCCGGCAACGGUGAAACUUAAAGGAAUUGGCGGGG